RNAcentral lists this ribosomal RNA (253 nucleotides) under uncultured bacterium. Its description in RNAcentral is "partial 16S ribosomal RNA". It matches the Rfam family "Bacterial small subunit ribosomal RNA", at positions 524 to 776 of the family's 1533-position model. The record is from RNAcentral.
UACAGAGGUCCCAAGCGUUGUUCGGAUUCACUGGGCGUAAAGCGUGCGUAGACGGUUAUUUAAGUCAGGUGUGAAAGCCCCGGGCUCAACCUGGGAAUUGCAUUUGAGACUGAAUAGCUAGGGUGCGGAAGAGGGAAGCGGAAUUUCCGGUGUAGCGGUGAAAUGCGUAGAUAUCGGAAGGAACACCAGUGGCGAAAGCGGCUUCCUGGUCCAGCACCGACGUUCAGGCACGAAAGCGUGGGGAGCAAACAGG